Molecule: ribosomal RNA, 492 nt
Filed under: uncultured bacterium
Lineage: Bacteria
Description: partial 16S ribosomal RNA
Rfam family: Bacterial small subunit ribosomal RNA
Source: RNAcentral
AGUGAACGCUGGCGGUAGGCCUAACACAUGCAGGUCGAACGGCAGCACAGUAAGAGCUUGCUCUUACGGGUGGCGAGUGGCGGACGGGUGAGGAAUACAUCGGAAUCUACUUUUUCGUGGGGGAUAACGUAGGGAAACUUACGCUAAUACCGCAUACGGCCUACGGGUGAAAGCAGGGGAUCUUCGGACCUUGCGCGAUUGAAUGAGCCGAUGUCGGAUUAGCUAGUUGGCGGGGUAAAGGCCCACCAAGGCGACGAUCCGUAGCUGGUCUGAGAGGAUGAUCAGCCACACUGGAACUGAGACACGGUCCAGACUCCUACGGGAGGCAGCAGUGGGGAAUAUUGGACAAUGGGCGCAAGCCUGAUCCAGCCAUACCGCGUGGGUGAAGAAGGCCUUCGGGUUGUAAAGCCCUUUUGUUGGGAAAGAAAAGCAGCAGGUUAAUACCCCGCUGUUCUGACGGUACCCAAAGAAUAAGCACCGGCUAACUUCGUG